Molecule: long non-coding RNA, 2651 nt
Filed under: Heterocephalus glaber (naked mole-rat)
Lineage: Eukaryota; Metazoa; Chordata; Mammalia; Rodentia; Bathyergidae
Description: lncRNA (ENSHGLG00000047429.1)
Source: RNAcentral
GCAGAUCUGUUUUCCCUACCUCUUGGCCUUCCCUUGGGUUUCUAGAAGGACUUUCAUGUCUUUAUUUUAGUCCCCUUUCUGCUAUCAAGGCUCCUUUAGUUUUCUUAGGCAAUUUUUACAAAGCCUUUAAUGCAAAAUAAACUGAAUGGCUAGCCAAGAAGGCAGCUGGAAAGUGCCCAGAUUUGGCUGUUGUGUAUUGGACCCCACCCCCUUCUGCAUCCAUGACAGGCAUAGCAAUGCGGCUGCCCUAGAGGCCACUUCAGGUUUGGAAAACCGCAGCUUGCUCCUAGAAUCCUGAACUUGAACCUCAUUUGAGACAGCAAAUGACCAGGAUGAUUUGCCCUAUUGAAGCCUGUUAAAACCGGACAAAAUUUUUGAAAGAAAGGGAAACAGUUCCUUGGAUUGUAUUCAGGGAUUUGCUUUGAGAAGGAAUUUGAGUUUUUAGGGGGAAGCCAAAGACAAGAUUCAAGUGAAGCCUGGCCUGAGAAUGCACCAGGAACUAAGAUGAAGAUUGACUAACUCGCAAUCAAGCUUUCAGUGCUGGGGAUCACGAGUUCAAGCCCAGCCUAGGCAGUUUAGCAAGAACUCUCAAAAAAGGCUGAGGAUAUACUAAGUUCAGAGGUACAGCAUCCCUGAGUUUGAACCUAGUACCACAAAAAAAGGUCCUUUCUUAACUGUACUAUUAAUAUCUUUUUUUAACUGUACUAUUAAAAUUUUUAUUAAUAAUGAUACCUCCCCGUCUCCUCCCUGUGCCACCAGUUUAGAUUUAAAUGUGACCCCUUUAUUUCAUUGCUCACCUUGCUUCCUGUAUUUAUUUUAUUUUUUGUGUGGCUAGCACACAUGAUAGGCACACGAUAGCUCUACCAGUGAGCUAUACCCCCAGCCCUCUUUUACUAUGGUGGUAAAAUAUGCAAAUAUAAAAUUUUCCACUUUAAGUUUACAUUUCAAGAACAUUUAGUACACUCAUCUUGUGGGACCAUCACCACAUCCAUCUCCAGAACAUUUUCCUGUUCCCCAGGUGAAACUGUACCCAUUUAAAACACACUCCUCAUUCUCCUGUUUCCUCAGCACCUGAUAACUACUUCUCACUUUCUGUCUCGUGGUCUCUGAAUUUGACCAUUCUGUGUGCUUCCGUAUAAGUGGAAUCAUAGUAUUUGUCCUCUGUGUCUAGCACAGUGUCCUUCGGGUCCAUCCAUGUCACAGCCUUUAUGGGGUUCUCUUCUUUUUUAGAGCUCAGUAAUAGUCUAUUGCAUCUAAAAGCCACAUUUUGCUCUUCUUUCUUUCUCUUUCUUUCUUUCUUUUUCUCUUUCUUCCUUUCUUCCUUUCCCUCCCUUCCUCCCUUCCUUCCUUCCUUCCUUUCCCUCCCUUUCUUCCUUCCUCCCUUCCUUCCUUCCUUCCUUCCUUCCUUUCCCUUCCUUCCUUCCUUCUUUGUACCAGGGAUCGCUCAGGACAUUGCCCUUGCCUGCUUGGCUCCACUGAGCUACAUCCCCAUCCCCUCAUAGUCACCAUCUUGAUGGGUGUGAAAAGGCACCGCCCUUUCUUGUGCAUUGUCAUCCCCUCUUUUGCAACUGCCACCUUAAACUCAGGCCAACAGCCAAACUUCUCCCGACCCUCUCCUAACACACUGCUGAUGUCAUAGCUGGGAUGUCAAGUGUCUUCCUCCUGCUGUCCCCAGUGUGUGUGGUCUGCCAAGCCCAUCAGUUCCUCUCUAGAGCCAUGAGCCAUUUGCAUCUCUUCCCCAUGUGUAUAGGCUCUCAUUUUACCUCUUUUUUUUUUUUUUUUUAUUGGUACCAGGGAUCGAACUCAGGUCCUUGCGUUUACACAGCAGGCAGCAAAACCGCUGAGCUAAAUCCGUGGCCCUCGAAUUUUACCUCUUGCCUAGAUUAUUGUCCUCUCCCUGUCCUAAACACCCACAGGCCCUUAUGCCGUGUUCACUGGCAUUCUGAGCCAGCUUCCCACUACGCACCAGAGAAAGAAGAAAAUGUCCACACAGUGGCCCCUUCUCACAUGCCUGGCACUGUACCACGAGGCCUGCAUCCAGGCUGAGUGCCGGCUCAUAGAUGUUCAUAAGGUAACUCUUAGGUCAUAGCUGGCCAGCAAUAAAGCGGGAUUCACACCAGUUCAAAAGCAGUCAUUUAAUCCUCACCCUAAACCUAGUACCUCAUACCCUUUAGGUGAGGAAAGCACCUCAGUGAGUGACUUGCCUAAAAGGAGAUGGGCAGUAACUGGGAGCUGGGGUUUGGACCUGGCUCUGCCUCUAACCUGUCCAGGGUCAGUUCCCCACUGCUCCCAAAUCCCUGGCCCUGCACCUAGACGCAGAGUGGCUUGCCAGUGUUACUCCCCUACUAUCUCAUCCCUUGCCCCAGAUUAGACAAUCUGCCACUGAAGAGAAGCUGAGUGUCAGUUUACCUCUACCUUUGCUCCUACAGCUCCAUUGCCAUUUAGCUGGCCUUCCCAACCCAAACCAGUUGCCACUUUCUCCCUGAAACCACAGUUCUCCAUACUGGAAGAAAUCCUAGGCCAAUCUUGAGCUCCUACAGCUCUGACUCAAUAGUCGCGUUCUGGAGAGAGGCGAGGUGGCAAACAACAGGCAGCCCUCCCACAGAUGAUCCCUGCUGAAUGAACAAAGCCUGUCUCCCUGCAUGCAGGGC